AGACCAGCCAUUUUGCACUUAGUUUGGAAAACAAGGUGCUUUGUUUUGUUUAAUCUUCGGCAUCCACCUGUAUUGAACUCUGGAUAAGCUUUGAUUUAUCACAGAGCUGUUGGAAAACACUGCAAGAAUGCAAGUUGAUGAAGACAAACAAUGUCUACAGGGACGGAAUUAUACAAGAAGAAGAACAACGCAGUGAUGAAACGCGCUCUGUAGUGCUGUUUGUCUGUUUACGGCUACUGUAGAAACAUGGUAGCGCAACAUGGCGACAUCCAUGGAGGGGGGGUCCUGCAGUGUCUGUAGAUAGAAAUGUCUCAUUCUAAGACCGAAUCAAGCUCCUGGACUGACGGACAUUUAUGGAAGUAAGUUAGAUUCCAUGUGUAAAGGAAAAAGGAGCUGGCUGACUGUCUGCAGAGCGGUAAGAGGCUUUUUCACACAAGACUUUUGUUAAAUUAAUACUAACAUCCACUAGAUCUUAUCAAACCACUAUCAAUAAUAUUAAGGUGUACUGCAUUUAGAAAUCCCGACAGUAUGACUUUCAAUACCGCCAAAAACUCAAAAACACUCCUCUUUCUUUUAAACUGAUCUUCACUAGCAAGGACCACGCCACAACAAUGUGUGCUUUAGAGUUACAUGCAAAUAGGAAUGUGUUCUUAACAUUAAGCAAAAAAAAUAGGUUUAAUUCUCUCAGGUGUAUUUCACAGGUUUGUGAUGACAACGACUCUUCAGCCAUCCAAGAGGCCCUCCCUUCAUUAGCAUUCAAUAUAUUUGUGGUCAAGAAAAUUCAGGGAGGGAGGUCUUAAAAAGCAAGCUGGAGUAGCCAUCACAGGAGCAAUGGUCCUUUUUGAUAUUUCCAUUGUAGCACAGUCUUUCACCUACCUAAUGGGCCUUUUAAGGUUUUUCACAAGAUCUUCGUGGAGCUGGAGGAUGGGAACUACAAAAUGUUCUCUAAAGUCCACGAUCUCAAGGUCAUCUUACUGGUCUAAAAGCCAUACAGACAUUGGUCAGACAAGGUGGAGGACUGUGGAGGACACUUUUUUGAAAGUGUAGUAUUGAAAAAUCUGUACAAAACAUAUUUGUUAUUGCACUUUUUUUUAUUUGGGUGUUUGAGUGGAAGUUUAAUAUACUCUUCUUUUGGUUGCUGCGUUUAGUUGAAAGUUAUGAAAAGUAAAAACAAAUUCAUUUUCCACAAAACAUGUCUUAGAGUAUGAUUUUGUGCUUCACAACUAUAACACUAACUUGUUCAAUAUUUUUCCACAUCCUUAUUGUAUUAGUUAUUUUUAUAAACAUUUACUCAUCUUAAUAAGACACCGUUUAGUUUAGGUAGCUGCAAAUGUGCAUUGUUAAUGGUUAACAAGUGCAUAAUAAAGGAUUUAUUAAUUUAAAUAAGUCUUGCCUUUCUUGGAAGAGAAAGGACAACAACACCACAACACAUGAAACAAAUAACAGGUGGGUAAAAAACCUGUCAGAUAGUGAACUCAUCCAAUCAGAGCAAGACAUUCUGGCCAAAGGAUUAAACUUUGGCAUCACACCACAGCAGCUGCCUAUAGUGGACCUCAUCACAGCAACAGAAUCGGCCAUUAAGAAAAACAAAUUCACUGAAACAGAAGCAGAAGAGCUAAAGAUAUCAGCAGCCCUUUCUAAUGCGAAGGCUACCCCUUCCAACCUCACCAUCCAAGAAAGGAAGGCUGUGACAUCACUGAGCUAUGAUCAACAGAUCACUAUCCUACCUGCUGACAAAGGAAGAUGGUUUGGAGACAAACACAUAUGAGACACUGAGGCGAGACCCAACCAGCGGGAACAAGAAAAAGCCUUCUGGGGAAGACCCUGCCAAAUCUGACCAGUGAUGACAUGUAUAGCCGCAUGUCGUCAUUCCGCCGCUGGUUGUCGAGGUGGUGUCCAGCAAACGAUGU
Long non-coding RNA from Micropterus salmoides (largemouth bass), 1910 nucleotides. RefSeq lists it as uncharacterized. The record is from RefSeq and is a predicted model, not a curated record. The transcript is spliced from 5 exons. Lineage: Eukaryota; Metazoa; Chordata; Actinopteri; Centrarchiformes; Centrarchidae.